UGGGGAAUAUUGCACAAUGGAGGGAACUCUGAUGCAGCGACGCCGCGUGAACGAAGAAGGCUUUCGAGUCGUAAAGUUCUUUUAUAUGGGAAGAUAAUGACGGUACCAUAAGAAAAAGCCCCGGCUAACUACGUGCCAGCGGCCGCGGUAAUACGUAGGGGGCUAGCGUUGUCCGGAAUCACUGGGCGUAAAGGGUUCGCAGGCGGAAAUGCAAGUCAGGUGUAAAAGGCAGUAGCUUAACUACUGUAAGCAUUUGAAACUGCAUAUCUUGAGAAGAGUAGAGGUAAGUGGAAUUUUUAGUGUAGCGGUGAAAUGCGUAGAUAUUAAAAAGAAUACCGGUGGCGAAGGCGACUUACUGGGCUCAUUCUGACGCUGAGGAACGAAAGCGUGGGUAGCAAACAGG
RNAcentral lists this ribosomal RNA (403 nucleotides) under bacterium. Its description in RNAcentral is "partial 16S ribosomal RNA". It matches the Rfam family "Bacterial small subunit ribosomal RNA", at positions 355 to 776 of the family's 1533-position model. RNAcentral also lists the same sequence under 1 other name. The record is from RNAcentral.